Long non-coding RNA from Budorcas taxicolor (takin), 530 nucleotides. RefSeq lists it as uncharacterized. The record is from RefSeq and is a predicted model, not a curated record. The transcript has 3 exons. Lineage: Eukaryota; Metazoa; Chordata; Mammalia; Artiodactyla; Bovidae.
AGGCAGAGGAAAGCCCAAAUGUGAUGUUAAACACACAGAGGAGACCCCACAUGGGUUACUCACACAGACGCUGCCAAAGGUCCUGCUGUUUCACACUGUGCAGAGUGAAUAAACUAUGGCAUAAAACUAUGGCAACUCCCUUGAGUGGCUCAGCAGUACAGAAUCUGCGUGCAAUGCAGGAGAUCCAGGUUUGAUCCCUGGGUCAGGAAGAUCCCCUUGAAGAGGGCAUGGCAACCCAUUCCAGUACUCUUGCCUAGAGAAUCCCCAUGGACAGAGGAGCCCGGUGGCUACAGUCCGUAGGAUCGCCAAGAGUCUGACAAGACUGAAGAGACUGAGAACAUAUGCAAGCAUCUUUUCUCACUGACAGGAAUCCAGUCUUCUUGGAGAAUUGGCUGUUUCCAGGUACAGAGCAACAAUUAUACAAGAUAAACGCAGAGCAUCUUUUAUCAGAAGUUAAGAAAGCUGCCAAACCUCACUGGGCUCAUGUCAAAAGGGCUCAGAUGCCAACCUGAAGGAGCAUCAGAUACAAA